This 72-nucleotide transfer RNA is filed under the name Capra hircus (goat). It matches the Rfam family "tRNA". From Rfam's summary of the family: Transfer RNA (tRNA) molecules are approximately 80 nucleotides in length. Their secondary structure includes four short double-helical elements and three loops (D, anti-codon, and T loops). Further hydrogen bonds mediate the characteristic L-shaped molecular structure. tRNAs have two regions of fundamental functional importance: the anti-codon, which is responsible for specific mRNA codon recognition, and the 3' end, to which the tRNAs corresponding amino acid is attached (by aminoacyl-tRNA synthetases). tRNAs cope with the degeneracy of the genetic code in two manners: having more than one tRNA (with a specific anti-codon) for a particular amino acid; and 'wobble' base-pairing, i.e. permitting non-standard base-pairing at the 3rd anti-codon position. Lineage: Eukaryota; Metazoa; Chordata; Mammalia; Artiodactyla; Bovidae. The record is from Rfam by way of RNAcentral. RNAcentral also lists the same sequence under 1 other name.
UCCUUGGUGGCUCAGAUGGUAAAGCGUCUGCCUGCAAUGUGGGAGACCUGGGUUUAAUCCCUAGGUGGGGAA